UUAAUUGAAGAGUUUGAUCAUGGCUCAGAUUGAACGCUGGCGGCAGGCCUAACACAUGCAAGUCGAGCGGCAGCACAGAGGAACUUGUUCCUUGGGUGGCGAGCGGCGGACGGGUGAGUAAUGCCUGGGAAAUUGCCCGGUAGAGGGGGGAUAACCAUUGGAAACGAUGGCUAAUACCGCAUAACCUCGCAAGAGCAAAGCAGGGGACCUUCGGGCCUUGCGCUACCGGAUAUGCCCAGGUGGGAUUAGCUAGUUGGUGAGGUAAGGGCUCACCAAGGCGACG
This 283-nucleotide ribosomal RNA is filed under the name Vibrio cholerae O1 biovar El Tor str. N16961. Its description in RNAcentral is "partial 16S ribosomal RNA". It matches the Rfam family "Bacterial small subunit ribosomal RNA", at positions 1 to 278 of the family's 1533-position model. The record is from RNAcentral. Lineage: Bacteria; Pseudomonadati; Pseudomonadota; Gammaproteobacteria; Vibrionales; Vibrionaceae.